Molecule: long non-coding RNA, 918 nt
Organism: Musa acuminata AAA Group (dessert banana)
Lineage: Eukaryota; Viridiplantae; Streptophyta; Magnoliopsida; Zingiberales; Musaceae
Exons: 3
Source: RefSeq, a predicted model, not a curated record
AAUACUUUUCUGUCAUCUGUCGUGGAAAGAUGUUGAUCCAUACAUUUACCUUCUUAUUUAUCAUGGUAUUCAUGUUGGACUACACUUGCUUUCUUACAUAUCAUGGUAUUGUAUAAUGAAUAUUUCUAGGUUGCAUCAAAAUGUUUUUUUCUCUUUGCUGCUUUCGGUACCAUUACCAGAGUUUGUGGAUUAAAAAUUUGGAUACUUCAGAAGCUAAAAUGGCAGAAGAAUUUUAGAAGAUAUGGGCAUGAAAAGAAUCCCAGUAUUCUAGAAGUCUGAGAGCCUUCUUAGAGCCUUCUUUUCCCAUACUUCGGUGGACUACAAGCCCAAGGAUGAUGGUGAUGUUUCCGGAUUCACACCCCAGUUCCCUUUCUCCACCCUCAGCUACUCCUACAUCAUUCAGCUGACAUUGCCAGUCAGGCCACGUUCUGCCUUGAGAUGAAACCUACUCCGCUUUUCAGGGGGAAGAUCGUAAUCAACGUCUUAACCAUGUGUUGCAUGAUGAAGAGUCUGCUCCGUCGGCCAAAACCAGGGCGGACUCUUAUGGUCAUGCAACGCCGCGUGGGGGAGUUGCUCUUUUCGACUUCGACACGUAGAUGCGCCAGAUUGCGACGUGGGCGCCAUACCACUAUCCUUCGCUGUGGCACAGCACGACAGGCUGACGACGCACCGAAGGACGCAGCUUCCCUGGCUCCGGCCGGCGCGGUAUGGAAGGACAAAGAGGUUGGUUUCUUCUAAUUUUACCUUUUGGAAUUUAAAGUCGUGUUAUUUUUCAAAUUUAUCUAAAUAGUUAAUUUCAAAAUCGAUUCUAAUCCCAAAUCUAAUUAAAAGAUUAUCAAAGUCAAUUUCAACUAAUGGAAUAGACUUUAAAAAAAGAAAAAUAGCACGGUGUCAUUGUCACGGUGCCUCUGCCGACAU